RNAcentral lists this long non-coding RNA (901 nucleotides) under Equus asinus (donkey). RNAcentral's name for it is "lncRNA (ENSEASG00005028346.1)". Lineage: Eukaryota; Metazoa; Chordata; Mammalia; Perissodactyla; Equidae. The record is from RNAcentral.
UGACGUGUGACUUCCGAGGCUAGAUCAUAAAAGGCUUCUUUGUCACUCACUCCGGGAGAAACUAACCACCAUGAUGUGAGGACAGUCUUUAUACACCAUGUGGAGAGGAGCGUGCCGGCCAUGUGUAUCUUGGAAAUGGGUCUUCCAGCUUCAGUCAAGCCUUUAGAUGGCAGCCGCAGCUGACGUCUGUCUGACUGACUGCAACCACAUGGGAGACCCUGAGCCAGAAUCACCAAGCUAAAUUGUACAUGAGUUUCCAGCUUACAGAAACGAAGGAAAACUCAAACUCAGGGGCUCAAGGACAUGUCAAAGGCACAGACAUAUGUUCCUGCAUUGAUCAAAUCAGGCUGUGCAGGUGGUUCGCUGCUCUGUGAAUGCAUAAACAGGGGGCCUGCUCUCCACGUGUAAACUGAUCUGGUGCAAUUCAGAUAGAAUAUAUUCUAGGACUGGUGCCUUCUUCAACUCAUGCAAAUAAAAGUGCAGCAUGGUCCAAAGUACUGGAGUCAUGAGAAGGCAUCCGUUUUCAAAUGUGCAAGAUGAAGCCAUCCUGUGAGACACUUGGGCAACUUGACUUUCCCAUGUGAUGGGUGGGGAACUCCUUAACGUGUCAACAGACUUUUACACUCUGUGCUUAGGAAGUCAUUGUUAGUUUAUUUUCUAGUAUUCCAUGUAAGUAAUGGCUUGGCUAAAUGAGAAGAACGGUUGAAAGGAUAUUAGCAUCAAAUCCAAACAGAGAGAGAUUAAACAACCUUCCCAAGGUCAUUGACAAAUAGGUACCAGAUCUCAUCUCCAAAUCUGCAAGUGACUUCACCAAGUUAGCUCAUUCUUUCUUCCUAGACAUCUUAUUUUCCAGGAAGUAGUGGAGGUCUAUGCAACUUUUGAAAAUAAGAAAUAGAUUUUA